RNAcentral lists this small RNA (28 nucleotides) under Bombyx mori (domestic silkworm). Its description in RNAcentral is "ovarian small RNA-37045". Lineage: Eukaryota; Metazoa; Arthropoda; Insecta; Lepidoptera; Bombycidae. The record is from RNAcentral.
UUCAUACUAUAGCGUUGUAUGUCAUGUG